CCCGUACUGAUGUGAUGGGUUCUUACCUUCUGAAUAACCAGCAUGUCAUUAAUUUGGUGUGUUGGGGAAGCAGGACUAUUACCUUGAAAAAAUUAGAGUGCUCAAAGCAGGCUAGUGCCUGAAUACAUUAGCAUGGAAUAAUAAAAUAGGACGGCAUGGUUCUAUUUUGUUGGUUUCUAGGAUCACCGUAAUGAUUAAUAGGGAUAGUUGGGGGCAUUAGUAUUCAAUUGUCAGAGGUGAAAUUCUUGGAUUUAUUGAAGACUAACUUCUGCGAAAGCAUUUGCCAAGGAUGUUUUCAUUAAUCAAGAACGAAAGUUAGGGGAUCGAAGACGAUCAGAUACCGUCGUAGUCUUAACCAUAAACUAUGCCGACUAGGGAUCGGACGAUGUUAAUUUUAUAAUGACUCGUUCGGCGCCUUACG
Molecule: ribosomal RNA, 421 nt
Filed under: uncultured Glomeromycotina
Lineage: Eukaryota; Fungi; Glomeromycota
Description: SSU rRNA
Rfam family: Eukaryotic small subunit ribosomal RNA
Source: RNAcentral